UCCAGACUCCUACGGGAGGCAGCAGUGGGGAAUAUUGCACAAUGGGGGAAACCCUGAUGCAGCAACGCCGCGUGAGUGAAGAAGUAUUUCGGUAUGUAAAGCUCUAUCAGCAGGGAAGAAGAUGACGGUACCUGACCAAGAAGCCCCGGCUAACUACGUGCCAGCAGCCGCGGUAAUACGUAGGGGGCAAGCGUUAUCCGGAUUUACUGGGUGUAAAGGGAGCGCAGACGGCAGUGCAAGUCUGGAGUGAAAGCCCGGGGCUCAACCCCGGAACUGCUCUGGAAACUGUGCGGCUAGAGUACUGGAGGGGCAGGCGGAAUUCCUAGUGUAGCGGUGAAAUGCGUAGAUAUUAGGAGGAACACCAGUGGCGAAGGCGGAUAACUGGACGGCAACUGACGGUGAGGCGCGAAAGCGUGGGGAGCAAACAGGAUUAGAUACCCCCGUAAA
This 447-nucleotide ribosomal RNA is filed under the name uncultured bacterium. RNAcentral describes it as "bacterial SSU rRNA". It matches the Rfam family "Bacterial small subunit ribosomal RNA", at positions 330 to 794 of the family's 1533-position model. The record is from RNAcentral.